This 1252-nucleotide ribosomal RNA is filed under the name uncultured bacterium. Its description in RNAcentral is "bacterial SSU rRNA". It matches the Rfam family "Bacterial small subunit ribosomal RNA", at positions 103 to 1357 of the family's 1533-position model. The record is from RNAcentral.
CGGGUGAGUAACGCGUAUCCAACCUGCCUUACACUCUUGGACAGCCUUCUGAAAGGGAGAUUAAUACAAGAUGUUAUCAUGAGUAAGCAUUUUCGCAUGAUUAAAGGUUUACCGGUGUAAGAUGGGGAUGCGUUCCAUUAGAUAGUAGGCGGGGUAACGGCCCACCUAGUCUUCGAUGGAUAGGGGUUCUGAGAGGAAGGUCCCCCACAUUGGAACUGAGACACGGUCCAAACUCCUACGGGAGGCAGCAGUGAGGAAUAUUGGUCAAUGGACGAGAGUCUGAACCAGCCAAGUAGCGUGAAGGAUGAAGGUUCUAUGGAUUGUAAACUUCUUUUAUACGGGAAUAAACGGAUCCACGUGUGGAUUUUUGCAUGUACCGUAUGAAUAAGGAUCGGCUAACUCCGUGCCAGCAGCCGCGGUAAUACGGAGGAUCCGAGCGUUAUCCGGAUUUAUUGGGUUUAAAGGGAGCGUAGAUGGGUUGUUAAGUCAGUUGUGAAAGUUUGCGGCUCAACCGUAAAAUUGCAAUUGAUACUGGCAGUCUUGAGUACAGUUGAGGUAGGCGGAAUUCGUGGUGUAGCGGUGAAAUGCUUAGAUAUCACGAAGAACUCCGAUUGCGAAGGCAGCUUACUAACCUGUAACUGACAUUGAUGCUCGAAAGUGUGGGUAUCAAACAGGAUUAGAUACCCUGGUAGUCCACACGGUAAACGAUGAAUACUCGCUGUAGGCGAUAUACAGUCUGCGGCCAAGCGAAAGCAUUAAGUAUUCCACCUGGGGAGUACGCCGGCAACGGUGAAACUCAAAGGAAUUGACGGGGGCCCGCACAAGCGGAGGAACAUGUGGUUUAAUUCGAUGAUACGCGAGGAACCUUACCCGGGCUUAAAUUGCAACCGAAUAUGGCGGAAACGCUAUAGCUAGCAAUAGCGGUUGUGAAGGUGCUGCAUGGUUGUCGUCAGCUCGUGCCGUGAGGUGUCGGCUUAAGUGCCAUAACGAGCGCAACCCUUGCCGAUAGUUACUAACAGGUUAUGCUGAGGACUCUGUCGGGACUGCCAUCGUAAGAUGUGAGGAAGGUGGGGAUGACGUCAAAUCAGCACGGCCCUUACGUCCGGGGCUACACACGUGUUACAAUGGGGGGUACAGAGGGCUGCUACCACGCAAGUGGAUGCCAAUCCCAAAAACCUCUCUAAGUUCGGAUUGAAGUCUGCAACCCGACUUCAUGAAGCUGGAUUCGCUAGUAAUCGCGCAUCAGCCAAGG